AUAGAGGGUGAGAAUCCCGUAUGUGCCUGGGUGCUUUUGCCUAUGUAAAGCUCUUUCAACGAGUCGAGUUGUUUGGGAAUGCAGCUCAAAACGGGUGGUAUAUUUCAUCUAAAGCUAAAUAUUGGCCAGAGACCGAUAGCGCACAAGGAGAGUGAUCGAAAGAUGAAAAGCACUUUGGAAAGAGAGUUAAAAAGCACGUGAAA
RNAcentral lists this ribosomal RNA (203 nucleotides) under Candidatus Regiella insecticola. RNAcentral describes it as "partial 23S ribosomal RNA". It matches the Rfam family "Eukaryotic large subunit ribosomal RNA", at positions 205 to 404 of the family's 3401-position model. The record is from RNAcentral. Lineage: Bacteria; Pseudomonadati; Pseudomonadota; Gammaproteobacteria; Enterobacterales; Enterobacteriaceae.